Molecule: long non-coding RNA, 1160 nt
Filed under: Numida meleagris (helmeted guineafowl)
Lineage: Eukaryota; Metazoa; Chordata; Aves; Galliformes; Numididae
Description: lncRNA (ENSNMEG00000016383.1)
Source: RNAcentral
ACAUGCAAUGGGUGUCUGAAAUCUUGUUUGGAGUCAUUAACUGCUUCUACACUGAGCACAAAAGCAAAUAAAUGUUUGUGGCUUGGUGUCAUGGUUUUAUGAUUUUCGGUUAUUGGUAUUCCACAUCAUAACAUCAUGUAGUGAAUGUACCUGGUUCUCAGAAGAGAAGGACUACUACAGUCCCCACGGCACUUUGCUCCUCUGUUACCAUUUUCCAGCCGGAGGGAAAAGAUAAAAGCUCGCAGUAUAAAAACUUGCAGAUCACGAGACCUCGUCCCUUUUUUCCGCCGUCUCUCGUCUUGGCAGCACCUCGCUCUCCAGCCGUCUUAUCGUCGGUAGUAGAGUAAGGCCUACCUUGAUUUUGGGACAUUCUCUCUCUCUGUAUUGGAUUUAUCAGCUUAAAUUGUAAUUAUAUUGUAUUAUAGUGUGUUGUUUUGCAUUCCGAUAUCUUAUUUAGUAAAUUAGUUUGUUUCUCCUCAGAUUGUUGCCGCUGUUCUUUGCUCUCAGGGCCAUCUCCCUACCCUUUUCCCCUUUCCCCUUUUCCCGGGACGUGGGCCCUUGGGUCCCCCGUCCCCUUUGUCACGGAAUCGGGCCUAACGCCCGUAAACCGUUGACACUUGGUUACUAGAUACACAGGGAUACUUUACAUACUGAUGGAUGGCUAAUUGCCUCCAUACUUGUUGACCUCCUUCUGCCGCGGAUCCCUCUGCUGCUGCUGUCCUGCAGCUCUCAACCCUGCCAUCUCCUCAUUUAUCUUUCGGCCACAACUGAAACUUGCAUGCAAAAGCCCACUUCUCCCAAGAGCAGCACUCCAAGAGAUGAACGUCCAACAGAGCAGUUGUUCAGCAAGGGGCAUUCCUGCUUUAUUCUGAAUAAAAUCUUUACCAACGGCAUGAAGUAUGACCUUGAAAACAUUCUUCCCAACCUGAAUUUUUCUUCAGUUUUCUUAGCAAAACAUCCAACACCUGUCAUCAAAAUGGUUACAGGUCAGCAACAGUCACAAAGUUUAUUCCUCCCAGGCCUGCACAGUGAAUUUUGUUAAUGUCAGGAAAACAGAACUAGCACUGUCUGCUCCUCCUGCUUUACCUCAGAGCACAAGCAUGGAAGCUUCCCCAUCCUUCCUUCCUAGCCCCUGUGCCACCGAGCAGCUUAGGCUCCUC